Long non-coding RNA from Amphimedon queenslandica, 1180 nucleotides. RefSeq lists it as uncharacterized. The transcript is spliced from 3 exons. NCBI's taxonomy places the organism in Eukaryota, Metazoa, Porifera, Demospongiae, Haplosclerida, Niphatidae. The record is from RefSeq and is a predicted model, not a curated record.
CAAUUUUUAUGAAGUUUAAAGGUGCAUUUAGAGGGAAGAAUUAUGUGAUUAGAUGAUGGGCUGAGUGAAAGUGAUGGUGUGUGCACGGUACAUACAUGUACCAGGAUUGCAGUUGAUUACACAAGCCUGACUGUGACUAUGUCCAUUUUUUUGGGAAAAAACUGGUGCUUAUAAUUACAGGUCAAAUUAGCGAAUAGUAUGAUAAUUGUCUCAUUUGUUUGCACUAGUUUGACAUGCGUGACAGAAACUGGUUAUGUUGCUAACUACUGAUGAAUGAUACUGUACAUGUGAGUAAAUCUGUUAACACAUCUCACCCGACCUUUGUAAGUAUACAUGGAUUGCAAACCAUAAUUGUACAUGUAUAUGUAUGUAUGUAUGUAUGUAUGUAUGUAUUGUAUGUACAUGUAUGUAUUUGUAUGUGUAUGUAUGUACAUGUAUCUGUGUAUGUAUGUAUGGUGUUCUUCCUUCAGUAAUCUUGUAAUUAUUUCUUACCUUGCAUAAAGUUGGGACCAUUACUAACUACUAAGUACACGUAAUUUCAAUCAACAUUUUGCUUGUCAUAUGUUAGAUGUGUUAGUUUCAAGUGCAACUCAUGAAAUCGUAAUUCACAUAAUGACUUAAUUUCAUUAAAUUUCAGUUUUCUGUGUCACUGUCCUACCAUUAACAUAUCAUUUGAUCCUUGUCUGUUUAGACUAGGCCCUUCCAGUAUCAGGGACCAUGGUUAUUUAAUACCAAUAUUAUUGUUGUCGUGUGAACUUAUGCCCUCAGUUAAUCAACUUACCAGUAUUACAUGUCUUUCUCUCCCUAUAUCCCUCUUAUUACUUGGUUACCAUUUUAGUAAAGCCACUCACUCCAGUCUCAUUGGUUCUUUGUGACACCAGUCAUUCCCUCUCAUCCACCCUUCCUCUCUCUCUUUCUCACAUAGCCAUCUUUGUCCUUCUCUAGACUGUUUUGAAGCCCUGUAUUAUGCUAGGUGAUAAACUGUUGGCUUGUCUUAGAUACAUUGUAGUUUAAUUAUUACGUGAACAAAUCAUGACUUGUUAUCUCUUUGCAUCCUUUUUGUUAUGUCUCCCAUUAUUUCAAAAAAAUUCAUUACUAUUAGUACAUAGGGUCAUUGAUUAUUUGCUUUAUGAAAUGCAAUGAUUAUUACUGUUAUUGUCUAAAUUUGUGAUUGACAGUA